RNAcentral lists this transfer RNA (67 nucleotides) under Ovoidimarina sediminis. Its description in RNAcentral is "tRNA-Arg". Lineage: Bacteria; Pseudomonadati; Pseudomonadota; Alphaproteobacteria; Rhodobacterales; Roseobacteraceae. The record is from RNAcentral.
GCAACUUAAGGGAAAAUAUGCCCUCCGAAGGCAGAGGUCACAGGUUCGAAUCCUGUCGGGUGCGCCA